UUCCUGUUUUUACUUACAGUGCCAGCAAUUUGCCUCCCUCAUCAGGGCCACAUCUACAUGUGGAGUUCAUCUCCCAUAAAAGAGGAUGCACAUAGUAUACCUCACACAUGAACUCUGUAAUAAGCUAUGGUGAUCUUUAUAUGCUUCACCAACUGGUGACCAAUGGGCUCUUUUCUGAGAAAAUAGCCCAGUUUCCUCUUAAUUUUGUUAAUUCUGCACCUUGGUGCUCGUGAAGUAAGAGCACUAAGUUCAGAUGAUGAAGCACUUCUUGCUUUCAAGAAGGCAGUUACAACUUCUGAUGGGAUAUUCCUCAACUGGCGUGAACAAGAUGUGGAUCCUUGCAAUUGGAAGGAUGUUAGAUGUGACAGUCACACCAAGAGAGUAAUUUAUCUCUCAAGGCAAGGAGAGGCAGUGUCUCAUGGGAAUCAGGGGUAAGGGUAAGCCACCGUGCCAAAGAUUAUUCAAUUUGAGAGAGAAUACAUAUACCUUGCACCUGUACACUUGAGAUAUAUAGCAUAGUAGCAACUCUUGAUCAACAACCAAGUUUUUGUUUCCUUUCGUCUUUUACUCGGGAUGAGUAAAGGUUCAAGCUUGGGGGGUUUUGUUGACGGUCGUUAGCAAACAGUUUCGACCGCCAAUACUAUCAAAAUAAAGAAGAACAAGUUAUGCUUGCAAUGCAUAUUUGUGUUAGAAUAAUAAAUAUUCCACUAGUUAUAGGAUUACUAACCUCUU
Molecule: long non-coding RNA, 732 nt
Organism: Oryza sativa Japonica Group (Japanese rice)
Lineage: Eukaryota; Viridiplantae; Streptophyta; Magnoliopsida; Poales; Poaceae
Source: RefSeq, a predicted model, not a curated record